This 421-nucleotide ribosomal RNA is filed under the name uncultured bacterium. RNAcentral describes it as "bacterial SSU rRNA". It matches the Rfam family "Bacterial small subunit ribosomal RNA", at positions 355 to 776 of the family's 1533-position model. The record is from RNAcentral.
UGGGGAAUAUUGCGCAAUGGACGAAAGUCUGACGCAGCGACGCCGCGUGUGGGAUGAAGCUUUUCGGAGUGUAAACCACUGUUGCUCGGGACGAACAUCCCCUUUCGAGGGGACUGACGGUACCGAGUGAGGAAGCACCGGCUAACUCUGUGCCAGCAGCCGCGGUAAUACAGGGGGAGCAAGCGUUGUCCGGAUUUAUUGGGCGUAAAGGGCGCGUAGGUGGAUCUGUAAGUGAGUGGUGAAAGCCUGGGGCUUAACUCCAGAAUUGCCUUUCAUACUGCAGGUCUCGAGUGCGGGAGGGGGAGAUGGAAUUCCUGGUGUAGCGGUGGAAUGCGUAGAUAUCAGGAGGAACACCGGUGGCGAAGGCGAUCUCCUGGCCCGUAACUGACACUGAGGCGCGAAAGCGUGGGGAGCAAACAGG